CGUUCAACCUCACCCUUCCUUGCUUUUCCCGCCUAUAUACCACCGUCGUCAGCUUACCCUGUGAAGGUUUUAUAGUAAGCAAAGUUGGCACAGCCUAAAACGUCAGGUCGAGGUGUAGUGCAUGAGAGGGGAAGAAAUGGGCUACAUUCGCUACCGAUAGCGAAUUACGAAUGUUGCAUUGAAACAUGCAGCUGAAGGAGGAUUUAGCAGUAAGCAGAAAGCAGAGCGUCCCGCUGAAACUGGCCCUAAAGCGCGCACACACCGCCCGUCACCCUCCCCAAGCUUCCGGCCCUAAUUAAUUAAAACCCUACAACUGCAAAGGAGAGGAAAGUCGUAACAUGGUAAGUGUACCGGAAGGUGCGCUUGGAAAAAU
This 373-nucleotide ribosomal RNA is filed under the name Istiophorus platypterus (Indo-Pacific sailfish). Its description in RNAcentral is "partial 12S ribosomal RNA". It matches the Rfam family "Bacterial small subunit ribosomal RNA", at positions 962 to 1533 of the family's 1533-position model. Lineage: Eukaryota; Metazoa; Chordata; Actinopteri; Istiophoriformes; Istiophoridae. The record is from RNAcentral.